This 552-nucleotide ribosomal RNA is filed under the name uncultured bacterium. RNAcentral describes it as "bacterial SSU rRNA". It matches the Rfam family "Bacterial small subunit ribosomal RNA", at positions 777 to 1325 of the family's 1533-position model. The record is from RNAcentral.
AAUAGAUACCCGGGUAGUCCACGCCGUAAACGAUGAGUGCUAAGUGUUGGGGGGUUUCCGCCCCUCGAGUGCUGCAGCUAACGCAUUAAGCACUCCGCCUGGGGAGUACGGUCGCAAGACUGAAACUCAAAGGAAUUGACGGGGGCCCGCACAAGCGGUGGAGCAUGUGGUUUAAUUCGAAGCAACGCGAAGAACCUUACCAGGUCUUGACAUCCCGGUGACCACUAUGGAGACAUAGUUUCCCCUUCGGGGGCAACGGUGACAGGUGGUGCAUGGUUGUCGUCAGCUCGUGUCGUGAGAUGUUGGGUUAAGUCCCGCAACGAGCGCAACCCUUAUUCUUAGUUGCCAUCAUUCAGUUGGGCACUCUAAGGAGACUGCCGGUGAUAAACCGGAGGAAGGUGGGGAUGACGGUCAAAUCAUCAUGCCCCUUAUGACCUGGGCUACACACGUGCUACAAUGGACGGUACAAACGGUUGCCAACCCGCGAGGGGGAGCUAAUCCGAUAAAACCGUUCUCAGUUCGGAUUGUAGGCUGCAACUCGCCUACAUGAAC